This 500-nucleotide ribosomal RNA is filed under the name uncultured bacterium. RNAcentral describes it as "partial 16S ribosomal RNA". It matches the Rfam family "Bacterial small subunit ribosomal RNA", at positions 30 to 523 of the family's 1533-position model. The record is from RNAcentral.
AUUGAACGCUGGCGGCAUGCCUUACACAUGCAAGUCGAACGGUAACAGGGAGCUUGCUCCGCUGACGAGUGGCGAACGGGUGAGUAAUGCAUCGGAACGUACCCAGUAGUGGGGGAUAACGCAGCGAAAGCUGUGCUAAUACCGCAUACGCACUGAGGUGGAAAGCAGGGGACCUUCGGGCCUUGUGCUAUUGGAGCGGCCGAUGUCAGAUUAGCUAGUUGGUGGGGUAAAAGCUCACCAAGGCGACGAUCUGUAGCUGGUCUGAGAGGAUGAUCAGCCACACUGGGACUGAGACACGGGCCAGACUCCUACGGGAGGCAGCAGUGGGGAAUUUUGGACAAUGGGGGCAACCCUGAUCCAGCCAUGCCGCGUGAGUGAAGAAGGCCUUCGGGUUGUAAAGCUCUUUCGGCCGGGAAGAAAUCGCCAUCUCUAAUAUAGGUGGUGGAUGACGGUACCGGAAUAAGAAGCACCGGCUAACUACGUGCCAGCCGCCGCCGUAA